UGGGGAAUAUUGGACAAUGGGCGAAAGCCUGAUCCAGCCAUGCCGCGUGUGUGAAGAAGGUCUUCGGAUUGUAAAGCACUUUAAGUUGGGAGGAAGGGCAUUAACCUAAUACGUUAGUGUUUUGACGUUACCGACAGAAUAAGCACCGGCUAACUCUGUGCCAGCAGCCGCGGUAAUACAGAGGGUGCAAGCGUUAAUCGGAAUUACUUGGCGUAAAGCGCGCGUAGGUGGUUUGUUAAGUUGGAUGUGAAAUCCCCGGGCUCAACCUGGGAACUGCAUUCAAAACUGACUGACUAGAGUAUGGUAGAGGGUGGUGGAAUUUCCUGUGUAGCGGUGAAAUGCGUAGAUAUAGGAAGGAACACCAGUGGCGAAGGCGACCACCUGGACUAAUACUGACACUGAGGUGCGAAAGCGUGGGGAGCAAACA
This 427-nucleotide ribosomal RNA is filed under the name uncultured bacterium. Its description in RNAcentral is "partial 16S ribosomal RNA". It matches the Rfam family "Bacterial small subunit ribosomal RNA", at positions 355 to 774 of the family's 1533-position model. The record is from RNAcentral.